RNAcentral lists this unclassified non-coding RNA (352 nucleotides) under soil metagenome. RNAcentral describes it as "partial contains 5.8S ribosomal RNA, internal transcribed spacer 2, and large subunit ribosomal RNA". The stretch from base 1 to 120 matches the Rfam family "5.8S ribosomal RNA", at positions 35 to 154 of the family's 154-position model. The record is from RNAcentral.
GAUGAAGAACGCAGCGAAAUGCGAUAAGUAAUGUGAAUUGCAGAAUUCAGUGAAUCAUCGAAUCUUUGAACGCACAUUGCGCCCGCCAGUAUUCUGGCGGGCAUGCCUGUUCGAGCGUCAUUACAACCCUCAGGCCCCCGGGCCUGGCGUUGGGGAUCGGCGGAGCCCCCCGUGGGCACACGCCGGCCCCCAAAUGCAGUGGCGGUCCCGCCGCAGCUUCCAUCGCGUAGUAGCUAACACCUCGCGACUGGAGAGCGGCGCGGCCACGCCGUAAAACACCCAACUCUUCUGAAGUUGACCUCGAAUCAGGUAGGAAUACCCGCUGAACUUAAGCAUAUCAAUAAGCGGAGGA